AAUAAACGUGUAGAGCUUACUGGUCGCAACCUUUGGAUGCGGGUUCGAUUCCCGCCGCCUCCACCA
This 66-nucleotide transfer-messenger RNA is filed under the name Acidobacteriota bacterium. Its description in RNAcentral is "Acidobacteria bacterium (rhizosphere metagenome) partial transfer-messenger RNA". It matches the Rfam family "transfer-messenger RNA", at positions 307 to 374 of the family's 374-position model. From Rfam's summary of the family: Bacterial tmRNA, also known as 10Sa RNA or SsrA, is named for its dual tRNA and mRNA-like properties. Its role is to liberate the mRNA from a stalled ribosome. To accomplish this part of the tmRNA is used as a reading frame that ends in a translation stop signal. Lineage: Bacteria; Pseudomonadati; Acidobacteriota. The record is from RNAcentral.